Schistocerca nitens (vagrant locust) is the source of this 1896-nucleotide long non-coding RNA. RefSeq lists it as uncharacterized. The transcript is spliced from 6 exons. The record is from RefSeq and is a predicted model, not a curated record. NCBI's taxonomy places the organism in Eukaryota, Metazoa, Arthropoda, Insecta, Orthoptera, Acrididae.
GUGACAUUCUCUCUCUGUUGAGUUACACGCCGUCGAUAGUCUAUCCUUUCGAUCAGGAGUAGCACUGCUUUAUGUGUCUGUCAUUGUAAUAAGUUUUUUGUUGAUUACAGUAGUACAGCUUUGCCAAUGGAGAUAAGCAUUUAGCAAUCGACUGGAAGCAGGCUGCCCUCAGAGCUAACGAGGUGACAGCUGACUGUUUGUGAUGCCGCGGCUCCAGUUUGGUUUUUGAAGCAGCCUUAACAGGAGCCGCAAACGACGUUCACCUCGCAAAGUCCAAGGAUGUCUCCACUGGGGAACAGUCAUCUGCAUCAUGUAGCAGCCUACCACAAGGUGAAUGUGAGGUGGAUGUGGCAGCAGCGGCGACGUCUGAGGAGAAAGUGGCGGACUGAAAGUGUGUUGAGGGCCCGCGGUGAAUGGCGGCGGGUGGCCCGGACGUCGUCAAUGGCAGCACAGUGUUGGUGUUGAUGCUGACUUGUCAACAACGCCAUCAUUCUCACUUGUAAUGGAAUCAUCUGUUACACAUCUGAACUAACAUGGAUGGAGGUGCAUAGAGGACUUCCGUGCCGCUUACAAGAGUUCAUUCAUCUAUUGACUCCGACGCAUAAUGGUUGCACUUCCCACAUUGCAUCCUCAAAGAUACUGCAAAUCUGACUUCUGGGGUACUAAGAACGUAUUAUUUCCUUUCUCACCAGGAGGCCAAGUGAGGUAUUUUUUUUACCGACGGUUGAUACAGAAGAAGGAUACAGUCGACUCCAGAUAAAAAAUGGUUGUCGUGAGUGAAGCAUAAUGAUAACGCUUCAAGGAAAGGCUCAGUGUGUGGAAUGGUUCACUCUGAUCAAAUCGGACAAAUAGAUUCAAAGGGAACUUCCAGACACAAUAUCGGAAGCACCCAUCCUCGCGGACGUCGAUACACAGGUGGUACAGACAUUUUAUGCACACAGCAAGCGUUGAUUUGAAGCAUACUGGACGACGUGGAACAAGUGAACCCGAAACUGGAUGGAUACGGUAGGCAUUUGAACGUUCUCCACGGAAGUCUGUUCAGAGAUCAUCGCAGCAGCUGCAAAUCCCUGGAGCGACAGUGCAUCGGGUCCUUCAGCAACGUGUGCAUAUGUAUCCAUGCCGGCUGCAGUUGUUACAAGUAUUGAAACCAGAUUACGAGCCACAACGUAUGCAGUUCACCGUGGUAGUUCUUUGCAGUUUAGAGAAGGAUGGAUAUUUUCUAAACAACCUAGAAUUUUCUGACGAAGAAACAUUUCACUUGUGUGGUAAGGUAAACAAAAACAAUGUUUGCGUUUGGGGCACAACAAAUCCGCAUACUGUGACGGAUGAAGUACGUUGCCGCCCGAAAGUGAAUGUGUUGUCUGAAGGUUAAUUGCAUUGUGGGACGUCUCUCUCUCUCCCUUUUUUUUAUAUAAAGUAAUUCUAGUGCUCUGAUAUACUGGAGCUGUUUGCGUUACCACAACAGACUGGCCGCCAAGUUACAGUCGUUUUACAACGAGAUAGUGCACCACCACUUUGGGCUCAGACUGUGUCAAAUGUUCUAGAUCACGUGUUUCCAGAUCGCUGGAUGGGCAGGGGUGAUCCAAUUCUCUGGCCUGCUAGGUCACCUGACCUUAAACCUUUAGGCUUCUUUCAAUGGGGUUAUAUGAAGGACAGUGUCUAUCAAGCGCUUGUGAACUGCUUCAUUGAUUUAAAGAACCGAAUCACGGCUGCCAUUGCCACAGUUGGUGUGGAUAUGUUGUGCUGAGUGCGGAUGGUGCUCGAAUACAGGCUGGAUGUUGUGCGUGCCACAAAAGGCGCACAUUACGAAAAGGACUGAAUGCUAUACAAACUGUGUGAAUUACUGUGUCACAUAAGCCAAAAAUUGUGUGAAUAUCUUAAUUAGUUUGGUUGCUA